GCAAUACGUUUGUAAAGCGGCGAACGGGUGAGGAAUACAUGGGUAACCUACCCUUGAGUGGGGAAUAACUAGCCGAAAGGUUAGCUAAUACCGCGUACGCUCCUUGGACUUCGGUUCAGGGAGGAAAGCGCUACCGUGGGUAGCGCGCUCUUGGAUGGGCUCAUGUCCUAUCAGCUUGUUGGUGAGGUAACGGCUCACCAAGGCUUCGACGGGUAGCUGGUCUGAGAGGACGAUCAGCCACACUGGCACUGCGACACGGGCCAGACUCCUACGGGAGGCAGCAGUAAGGAAUAUUGCGCAAUGGGCGAAAGCCUGACGCAGCGACGCCGCGUGGGGGAUGAAGGUCUUCGGAUUGUAAACCCCUUUCGGGAGGGAAGAUGGAAUGGGGUAACCCAUUUGGACGGUACCUCCAGAAGCAGCCACGGCUAACUUCGUGCCAGCAGCCGCGGUAAUACGAAGGUGGCAAGCGUUAUUCGGAUUUACUGGGCGUACAGGGAGCGUAGGCGGUUCGGUAAGCCCUCUGUGAAAUCUUCAGGCUUAACCUGGAAAAGUCGGAGGGGACUGCCGGGCUAGAGGACGGGAGAGGAGCGCGGAAUUCCCGGUGUAGCGGUGAAAUGCGUAGAGAUCGGGAGGAAGGCCGGUGGCGAAGGCGGCGCUCUGGAACGUUUCUGACGCUGAGGCUCGAAAGCGUGGGGAGCAAACAGGAUUAGAUACCCUGGUAGUCCACGC
This 729-nucleotide ribosomal RNA is filed under the name uncultured bacterium. RNAcentral's name for it is "bacterial SSU rRNA". It matches the Rfam family "Bacterial small subunit ribosomal RNA", at positions 79 to 800 of the family's 1533-position model. The record is from RNAcentral.